UUCUUAUCAAGAGAGGCGGAGGGAAAGGCCCGAUGAAGCCCAGCAACCGAUUCAAAUCACGCAUUUGGAUGUCAUGGUGCUAAUUCCUCAGAGUGCGUCGGCAUUCUGGCAGAUGAGAA
Molecule: non-coding RNA, 119 nt
Filed under: Paenibacillus yonginensis
Lineage: Bacteria; Bacillati; Bacillota; Bacilli; Caryophanales; Paenibacillaceae
Description: SAM-I sequence
Rfam family: SAM riboswitch aptamer (S box leader)
About the family: The SAM riboswitch is found upstream of a number of genes which code for proteins involved in methionine or cysteine biosynthesis in Gram-positive bacteria. The SAM riboswitch acts at the level of transcription termination control.
Source: Rfam by way of RNAcentral